GGUUCAGGUUUCGAAAGAAUUAAUAGGGAACGUUGUGAGAGUCAGCGACUAUGCCCGUAGCUGUGAGUUCCGUGUUUGUUUUUUUCGGUGAAGCCACUGACAUUCCAUGUGUCGGGAAGGCGGAAGAAAACUGGGACGAGUCAGAAGACCUGCCUGCACC
This 160-nucleotide non-coding RNA is filed under the name bovine gut metagenome. The record is from RNAcentral.